Molecule: transfer-messenger RNA, 260 nt
Filed under: Nitrospirota bacterium
Lineage: Bacteria; Pseudomonadati; Nitrospirota
Description: partial transfer-messenger RNA
Rfam family: transfer-messenger RNA
About the family: Bacterial tmRNA, also known as 10Sa RNA or SsrA, is named for its dual tRNA and mRNA-like properties. Its role is to liberate the mRNA from a stalled ribosome.
Source: RNAcentral
CAACGAUAAUUUGGCCCUCGCAGCUUAAUUGACUGCGACGUCUCUCCCCUUUUUGUCUGCGGGAGGGGAAGAGGCGACACUUUGCAGGCUGGUCCAAUGCUGAUGCUCAGAGGCGGCGGAUGAGAACGUUCUGGGCUAGCGGGCGCUCUAAGCCGGUCGGUGGGCGUGGGCAACUGCGAAUAACAAAUCAUCGGCUACACACGUAGGGCUGUUGUGCUGAAUGUUCUCGGACAGGGGUUCGAUUCCCCUCACCUCCACCA